This is a long non-coding RNA of Ochotona princeps (American pika), 839 nucleotides long. RefSeq lists it as uncharacterized. NCBI's taxonomy places the organism in Eukaryota, Metazoa, Chordata, Mammalia, Lagomorpha, Ochotonidae. The transcript is spliced from 2 exons. The record is from RefSeq and is a predicted model, not a curated record.
GGUCCCUGCACAGAAACUUAAGAGUGCUAUGGGAGAUUUGUUAUUGAUAAAUACCCAAAUAAUGCCUUAACAUCUAAUUUAAUAUUACGAAUAUUUAUUUUAAAAGAUUUAUUUAUUUUUAUCAGAGAGGCAUAUUUACAGAAAAAGAGAAAGAGAUCUUCCAUUGCUGGUUUGCUCCCCAAAUACCACAACAGCCAGAAUCUAGCCAAUCUGAAGCCAGGAGCUUGGAGCUUCUUCCAGGUCUCCCAUGUGGAUGCUGAGUCUGAAGGCUUUGAGCCAUUGUUUUUCCAGGCCACAGUCAAGGUGCUGGAUGGGAAGUGGAGCAGCUGAGACACAAACCUUCACCCAUAUGGGAUCCUUAUGCUUGCAAGGGGAGGAUUUAGGUAGUUGAGCCAUCAUGCUGGGCCCAGGAUAUUUAAUAUGUGAAGUAUUUAAUAUGCAUUUUCAUAUUUAACUGAUGCUUAUUUAAAUGGGUAGAGUAUCUGGUGAUAAUUUCAGAAGUUUACAGGGAAAGUGGGAUUUUUAUGUGGAGGCCCAGUACAAGUGAGGCCUUAAAGUUGGAAAGCAGACAUAGAGCCUGCCUCGGGCUAACUGCUCACAAAUUCAGAGAUUGUAGUUACAGGGCUUGCAUUUGUGGUGGUUUUCUCUCUGGCACAUUUGUCAAGUUUUCAAAUGGGCCUGACUCCACCACAUACAUUGUAAGGGAGCUGGCAAAGGCUCGAUGACAAAGACAUCUCUUCUGAGCCCUUUGCACCAGAGCUUUGCUCCCACAUGUGGCAGGCUAGCUCAUGAGUUUAAGUCCUUACAGACAGGCUGGGGUGCCUGUCUGCCUGAGGAGA